UACGGAGGGUGCAAGCGUUAUCCGGAUUCACUGGGUUUAAAGGGUGCGUAGGUGGGCAGGUAAGUCAGUGGUGAAAUCCCCGGGCUUAACUUGGGAACUGCCGUUGAUACUAUCUGUCUUGAAUACCGUGGAGGUGAGCGGAAUAUGUCAUGUAGCGGUGAAAUGCUUAGAUAUGACAUAGAACACCUAUUGCGAAGGCAGCUCACUACACGGUAAUUGACACUGAGGCACGAAAGCGUGGGGAGCAAACAGG
This 253-nucleotide ribosomal RNA is filed under the name uncultured bacterium. RNAcentral's name for it is "partial 16S ribosomal RNA". It matches the Rfam family "Bacterial small subunit ribosomal RNA", at positions 524 to 776 of the family's 1533-position model. The record is from RNAcentral.